GUGAGGAAUUUUCCGCAAUGGGCGAAAGCCUGACGGAGCAAUGCCGCGUGAAGGAUGAAGGCCUAUGGGUUGUAAACUUCUUUUCUCAGAAAAGAAUUAUGACGGUAUCUGAGGAAUAAGCAUCGGCUAACUCUGUGCCAGCAGCCGCGGUAAGACAGAGGAUGCAAGCGUUAUCCGGAAUGAUUGGGCGUAACGCGUCUGUAGGUUGUUUAAAAAGUAUUCUGUCAAAGAUUAGGGCUUAACCCUAGAUAGGCAGAAUAAACUUUUAAGCUAGAGUGUGGUAGAGGCAGAGGGAAUUCCCGGUGGAGCGGUGAAAUGCGUAGAUAUCGGGAGGAACACCAAAGGCGAAGGCACUCUGCUGGGCCAAUACUAACACUGAGAGACGAAAGCGAGGGGAGCAAAUGGGAUUAGAAACCCUUGUAGUCC
Molecule: ribosomal RNA, 426 nt
Filed under: uncultured bacterium
Lineage: Bacteria
Description: bacterial SSU rRNA
Rfam family: Bacterial small subunit ribosomal RNA
Source: RNAcentral